Molecule: unclassified non-coding RNA, 218 nt
Filed under: Hevea brasiliensis (rubber tree)
Lineage: Eukaryota; Viridiplantae; Streptophyta; Magnoliopsida; Malpighiales; Euphorbiaceae
Source: RNAcentral
CACAAUCCUGCUAGAAUUGAGUUGGAUCAGGUGCAAGAGUCACUAGAUUCAACUUGGAUAAGAACUUAUCAAGAACAGCAGCAGGAAGAGACUUGGUAAAAAUAUCUGCCAGUUGUAGAGAAGAAGAAAUAUGUGCUGGAGCUAUGAAACCUUUUUGCAACUGAUCUCACACAAUAUGACAAUCAAUAUCAAUGUGUUUAGUCCUCUCAUGGAAGACU